RNAcentral lists this ribosomal RNA (253 nucleotides) under uncultured bacterium. RNAcentral's name for it is "partial 16S ribosomal RNA". It matches the Rfam family "Bacterial small subunit ribosomal RNA", at positions 524 to 776 of the family's 1533-position model. The record is from RNAcentral.
UACAGAGGGUGCGAGCGUUAAUCGGAAUUACUGGGCGUAAAGCGCGCGUAGGCGGCUUUGCAAGUCGGGUGUGAAAUCCCCAGGCUCAACCUGGGAACUGCAUUCGAGACUGCAUUGCUAGAGUAUGGGAGAGGGAAGUGGAAUUUCAGGUGUAGCGGUGAAAUGCGUAGAGAUCGGGAGGAACACCGGUGGCGAAGGCGGGUCUCUGGGCAAUUCCUGACGCUGAGGCGCGAAAGCGUGGGGAGCAAACGGG